This 895-nucleotide ribosomal RNA is filed under the name uncultured bacterium. RNAcentral's name for it is "bacterial SSU rRNA". It matches the Rfam family "Bacterial small subunit ribosomal RNA", at positions 8 to 916 of the family's 1533-position model. The record is from RNAcentral.
AGAGUUUGAUCGUGGCUCAGGACGAACGCUGGCGGCGUGCUUAACACAUGCAAGUCGAGCGGAAAGGCCACUUCGGUGGUACUCGAGCGGCGAACGGGUGAGUAACACGUGAGUAAUCUGCCCCUGGCUUCGGGAUAGCCACCGGAAACGGUGAUUAAUACCGGAUACGACAACUUCUCGCAUGGGAUGGUUGUGGAAAGUUUUUCGGCCAGGGAUGUGCUCGCGGCCUAUCAGCUUGAUGGUGAGGUAAUGGCUCACCAUGGCUUCGACGGGUAGCCGGCCUGAGAGGGUGACCGGUCACACUGGGACUGAGACACGGCCCAGACUCCUACGGGAGGCAGCAGUGGGGAAUAUUGGACAAUGGGCGGAAGCCUGAUCCAGCAACGCCGCGUGAGGGAUGGCGGCCUUCGGGUUGUAAACCUCUUUCAGUACCGACGAAGCGCAAGUGACGGUAGGUACAGAAGAAGCACCGGCCAACUACGUGCCAGCAGCCGCGGUAAUACGUAGGGUGCGAGCGUUGUCCGGAAUUAUUGGGCGUAAAGGGCUCGUAGGCGGUUUGUCGCGUCGGGAGUGAAAACGCCGCGCUUAACACGGCGCUUGCUUUCGAUACGGGCAGACUAGAGGUAUUCAGGGGAGAACGGAAUUCCUGGUGUAGCGGUGAAAUGCGCAGAUAUCAGGAGGAACACCGGUGGCGAAGGCGGUUCUCUGGGAAUGACCUGACGCUGAGGAGCGAAAGUGUGGGGAGCGAACAGGAUUAGAUACCCUGGUAGUCCACACCGUAAACGUUGGGCGCUAGGUGUGGGGUCCAUUCCACGGAUUCCGUGCCGCAGCUAACGCAUUAAACGCCCCGCCUGGGGAGUACGGCCGCAAGGCUAAAACUCAAAGGAAUUGACGG